CAAUGGCGUGGGGCGUGGUCUUAAGGCGCGGAACGUGGCUUUACGACAAUAUCAGCAUGGUCACUUUGGAGGGCCCGGAGCUUUACGACGUGGCUGGGAGGCGAGCGCGGAGCUUUACGACAGGGUGGAGGCGUGGCUUGAAAGUGGGCGCAAAGCUUUAACCACAAGGGAGGGGCGUGGCCUUGAGAAGAUACCCAAGGGGUGGAUAUGGCGUUCUUCGGGAAGGCUGAACUAGUUGAGUGCAGGCCCAGAGAUUGCGGAGCACAAAGAUCAAGGUGCAGCAUGGUUCUCCCCUGUAUCUCUGCUCUCUGUCCUGGGAGCCCCCGCCGGAGUGUGCUCAACCUAUGGACGGAGGGAGGCCAUUGCUGACAUGUUGACUCGUGGUGCCCGCUGUGUGCUGAGAAGGGAAGACUUACUGACGCCCGACUUGUGCACAGAAUGGACCUCACCAUUGGCUGGCUGAUUGAUUGCUUAAUGCUGAUUGCUUAAUGCCUGUUCUGUACAAAACAUGGAAGAAAUCAUUCAUUUGUCAA
Myodes glareolus (Bank vole) is the source of this 533-nucleotide long non-coding RNA. RefSeq lists it as uncharacterized. Lineage: Eukaryota; Metazoa; Chordata; Mammalia; Rodentia; Cricetidae. The record is from RefSeq and is a predicted model, not a curated record.